AAUUUUGCGCAAUGGGCGAAAGCCUGACGCAGCAACGCCGCGUGAAUGUUAAGCCCUUCGGGGUGUAAAGUUCUGUCAGUGGGGACGAAACUUGACGGUACCCACAGAGGAAGCACCGGCUAACUCCGUGCCAGCAGCCGCGGUAAUACGGAGGGUGCAAGCGUUGUCCGGAAUCAUUGGGCGUAAAGAGUUCGUAGGUGGCAUGUUAAGUCUGGUGUUAAAUCCCGAAGCUCAACUUCGGUUCGGCACUGGAUACUGGCAAGCUUGAAUGCGGUAGAGGUAAGGGGAAUUCCUGGUGUAGCGGUGAAAUGCGUAGAUAUCAGGAGGAACAUCGGCGGCGAAAGCGCCUUACCGGGCCGUAAUUGACACUGAGGAACGAAAGCCGGGGUAGCAAAUGGG
RNAcentral lists this ribosomal RNA (399 nucleotides) under uncultured bacterium. RNAcentral describes it as "bacterial SSU rRNA". It matches the Rfam family "Bacterial small subunit ribosomal RNA", at positions 360 to 776 of the family's 1533-position model. The record is from RNAcentral.